This 835-nucleotide ribosomal RNA is filed under the name Salmonella enterica subsp. enterica serovar Takoradi. RNAcentral's name for it is "partial 23S ribosomal RNA". It matches the Rfam family "Bacterial large subunit ribosomal RNA", at positions 711 to 1547 of the family's 2925-position model. The record is from RNAcentral. Lineage: Bacteria; Pseudomonadati; Pseudomonadota; Gammaproteobacteria; Enterobacterales; Enterobacteriaceae. RNAcentral also lists the same sequence under 1 other name.
AGACCCGAAACCCGGUGAUCUAGCCAUGGGCAGGUUGAAGGUUGGGUAACACUAACUGGAGGACCGAACCGACUAAUGUUGAAAAAUUAGCGGAUGACCUGUGGCUGGGGGUGAAAGGCCAAUCAAACCGGGAGAUAGCUGGUUCUCCCCGAAAGCUAUUUAGGUAGCGCCUCGUGAACUCAUCUCCGGGGGUAGAGCACUGUUUCGGCUAGGGGGCCAUCCCGGCUUACCAACCCGAUGCAAACUGCGAAUACCGGAGAAUGUUAUCACGGGAGACACACGGCGGGUGCUAACGUCCGUCGUGAAGAGGGAAACAACCCAGACCGCCAGCUAAGGUCCCAAAGUCAUGGUUAAGUGGGAAACGAUGUGGGAAGGCCCAGACAGCCAGGAUGUUGGCUUAGAAGCAGCCAUCAUUUAAAGAAAGCGUAAUAGCUCACUGGUCGAGUCGGCCUGCGCGGAAGAUGUAACGGGGCUAAACCAUGCACCGAAGCUGCGGCAGCGACACUGUGUGUUGUUGGGUAGGGGAGCGUUCUGUAAGCCUGCGAAGGUGGCCUGUGAGGGUUGCUGGAGGUAUCAGAAGUGCGAAUGCUGACAUAAGUAACGAUAAAGCGGGUGAAAAGCCCGCUCGCCGGAAGACCAAGGGUUCCUGUCCAACGUUAAUCGGGGCAGGGUGAGUCGACCCCUAAGGCGAGGCCGAAAGGCGUAGUCGAUGGGAAACGGGUUAAUAUUCCCGUACUUGGUGUUACUGCGAAGGGGGGACGGAGAAGGCUAUGUUGGCCGGGCGACGGUUGUCCCGGUUUAAGCGUGUAGGUGUGUGUUCCAGGUAAAUCCGGUU